AUCAUUUCUCAGCCUUUUGGAUAAGAUCAAGUGAAG
Molecule: small nuclear RNA, 36 nt
Filed under: Cervus elaphus hippelaphus
Lineage: Eukaryota; Metazoa; Chordata; Mammalia; Artiodactyla; Cervidae
Source: RNAcentral